This 402-nucleotide ribosomal RNA is filed under the name uncultured Glomeromycotina. Its description in RNAcentral is "SSU rRNA". It matches the Rfam family "Eukaryotic small subunit ribosomal RNA", at positions 569 to 975 of the family's 1831-position model. Lineage: Eukaryota; Fungi; Glomeromycota. The record is from RNAcentral.
AGCAGCCGCGGUAAUUCCAGCUCCAAUAGCGUAUAUUAAAGUUGUUGCAGUUAAAAAGCUCGUAGUUGAAUUUCGGGAUCAAUAUGUCGGUCGUGCCUUCGGUACGUACUGGCAUCAUUGAUUUCUCCCUUCUGACGAACCAUGAUGUCAUUAAUUUGGUGUUAUGGGGAGUCAGGACUGUUACUUUGAAAAAAUUAGAGUGUUUAAAGCAGGCUCACGCUUGAAUACAUUAGCAUGGAAUAAUGAAAUAGGACGUUUGACCCUAUUUUGUUGGUUUCUAGGAUCAACGUAAUGAUUAAUAGGGAUAGUUGGGGGCAUUAGUAUUCAAUUGUCAGAGGUGAAAUUCUUGGAUUUAUUGAAGACUAACUACUGCGAAAGCAUUUGCCAAGGAUGUUUUCAUUA